CCUCCAUUUUGAUUCUCUCUUCUCCUCCUCUUCACAUAGUUCGUGGCAGGGCAUGCAGAAGCAGAGUGGCAAAUAAUCACGUUUAAACUUUGAUGGAGAGACGAAACCAGUUACACUUCAGAUGAGUUCUCAAGCUCUGCUGGACUAUAGGCCUGAGCAUGAAGUUUGAAUCCAGGCGAAUUGGUUUGGCCCACUGCAAAGCUAGGAAGAAGCUGCAACGUUCAAAUCCAGCUCUCCAUGUCGUUGACGAACGGUGCAGCUCUCCUCGUUUAUGCAGGGUGGUGUACUGCAAGAAAGGGUUAAAAUAAUCUUGGCAAAAAUCAGCUGUCUUUUAACCUUGUUGCAAAAUCUAGACAACCCAAGGAUGUUUGCUUUUCUCCCUGAAGGUUAAGUUGUCCUAACAGGUGCUAAUUUUGUGUUUUCUUAUGGAGAUCUGUCCAUAUUAGAAGCAACUGUGUGCAAACAAAAAAGCCAAUUAGAGUGCAAGGGUAUUUUUCAUCCUUCCUAUUUCCAUGUAGUCCCCAGCUAUCUCUAUCAGUCAUGUUAAGCCAUAGACUUAUCCUUUCUUGAGAAUUGGUAGACUUGUGCCCUCUUUGGGGAAAAUUGCUAUUCUAAUGUCAUGGGAAAAAUAUUGUCCUGGGGAAGUGGAUGAUCCACGUUAACUGGGAUUUGUCAUCAGCUUUGGCAACCUACGUAGCAAGGGUUGAGAUUAAUGGAGCCAAAGACUUUAAGCAAAUAUUGUUGGCGUGCUGUUAAACUGUCAAGAGAGCAAGAAAAAAAGCUCACUCUGCAACCCCCAAAUAAAGAUUUGUAUUCACUGAGCACUGCCAACCUUAUAUUAGGAAUUAUUUGCAGCGAACUACUUUCCAAAAAGGAAACAACCAGGUGUCACUUAUUGUCCAAGGUUUAUCUGCUGUAUUUUUGUUAGAUUUACAUUUAGAUGGUUGAAUCUGAGCGGGGAAUAGAUCUGCCAAAUCCACUUUUAAAUACACUAUGCUGAAACCCCAAUUGAUGUAAAUCAGAAUGGAUCAUGGACUACGAUGGCUCUACACGGCUUGACACCUGUUGAGAAUCUGGCCCAGGAUUUCUACAUUUUUGUAUAGACCAUAAAUAAAAAAUAGUGAAAUUCCUGAAAUCCAAAUAGUUGGUAUUAGUUAUUGCAACAAUGUUGACAUAAGACCCAACAUUUUCUCUAUCCAUGUAUUCAGCUAUCUAGCUUGCAAGCUGUAAUAAACCAAAGUCGUACAUCAAUUACAAUAUUUUAUGAUUAUUUUAUACUCUUGGCAAAAUACUCAGUGUUAUCUUGAACCCUAUUAAGGCUCAGCUGAUUAAAGGUUGAAGUUUUUCAUAAGUUAUUGAUGUUAUUUCUUUUAUUCAAACAUUUUCAUAACAAACUAGCUAUGAUAAUAUUUUUCUUGGCCAGAGACUUAAGACCAAAGACUUAUGUUGUAGGUAACAAUAUACAACUGUUUAUUUGGUUUAAGGACACUGAAUAAAUAUGUUGAUCCUGUAUGUGCAUUUUUGAAAUAAUUCUACAAUGAGUCACAUUUUGAUUUGCCACUGUUUAACGUUAAAGUGGAACUGAUUUUCAUUUGCAAUAUGGUUAUGCUCAGAAAAUGGGCUAUGUAAAAAUAACCCAUAUCUAUGCCCUGUGACUGAUUUUGUCAUCUGAUAUUAACAAAAAUAAAUCAUG
Molecule: long non-coding RNA, 1693 nt
Organism: Chrysemys picta bellii (western painted turtle)
Lineage: Eukaryota; Metazoa; Chordata; Testudines; Emydidae
Source: RefSeq, a predicted model, not a curated record